This 433-nucleotide ribosomal RNA is filed under the name uncultured bacterium. Its description in RNAcentral is "partial 16S ribosomal RNA". It matches the Rfam family "Bacterial small subunit ribosomal RNA", at positions 29 to 507 of the family's 1533-position model. The record is from RNAcentral.
AACGAACGCUGGCGGCAGGCCUAACACAUGCAAGUCGAGCGAGGACUUCGGUUCUAGCGGCGGACGGGUGAGUAACGCGUGGGAAUGUGCCCUUCUCUACGGAAUAGCCCUGGGAAACUGGGAGUAAUACCGUAUACGCCCUAUUGGGGAAAGAUUUAUCGGAGAAGGAUCAGCCCGCGUUGGAUUAGGUAGUUGGUGGGGUAAUGGCCUACCAAGCCGACGAUCCAUAGCUGGUUGGAGAGGAUGAUCAGCCACACUGGGACUGAGACACGGCCCAGACUCCGACGGGAGGCAGCAGUGGGGAAUCUUAGACAAUGGGGGCAACCCUGAUCUAGCCAUGCCGCGUGAGUGAUGAAGGCCUUAGGGUUGUAAAGCUCUUUCAGCUGGGAAGAUAAUGACGGUACCAGCAGAAGAAGCCCCGGCUAACUCCGUG